AUGUUUACAUUUGCUUUAACUUUGACUGAAACUAUCUUGGUGACACUUGCAUCAAUGGUGUGUUGUGCCCUUAUAGAUGUCCUUGGAGAAGAUGGACAUUGGAGUGUAGGGGAGGAACAACCUUGUCCUGCUCAAGGAGGAGGAGGAGGAGGACCAGCCGAGCUCGACGACGACACGGCAACAGGUAGCACUCGCCUCCCUCCCAAGGCGAAGGAACUAGCAAACUUUGUUGUUUUGCAACUGAAUGAACGCAACUUCAGUUUGUACGUCACCCAGCUUGCUGCUAUUGUGGCUGUCGAUGCCGGCGAGCCUGCAACAUCUCCGAUGAGCUGCAGGACCUGGACACCUUAG
Molecule: ribosomal RNA, 351 nt
Filed under: Triticum aestivum (bread wheat)
Lineage: Eukaryota; Viridiplantae; Streptophyta; Magnoliopsida; Poales; Poaceae
Description: partial small subunit ribosomal RNA
Source: RNAcentral